UUAGAAGAAAUCUACUUUGGUAGAUUUAGGCGUGACUCCUGGUUGGUUUUUGAGUAGCUGUUACUGAAGUGUUAAAAUUCAAGUCGAGUUUUUGUAUUUAUCCUUCAAUAUCGGCUUUUCCAAUCAUUGUGAAGCGGGAUUCAGUAAGGGAACAUAAGCUGGGCUUAGACCAUCAUGAGACCGGUUAUUUUUACACUUUUAAUGAGUACAGUAAUCAGUGAAGUACAAUCUGGCCGUUGUUAUGGUAAUCCUGCUUAGUACAAGGAGAACUGUAGGUUCAACGAAAUGGUAUAUAUGCCUGGUUGAGAGGCCAAUGGUGUAAAUCUACCAUCUGACGGAUUUAGACUGAACGCUUCUUAUUCUGAAUCCCGUUCAUAUUUGUAACGGUAAAUUCCGUAUCUCACAAAUCGAUCCACUGAAGUGGA
Molecule: non-coding RNA, 425 nt
Filed under: Trichobilharzia regenti
Lineage: Eukaryota; Metazoa; Platyhelminthes; Trematoda; Strigeidida; Schistosomatidae
Description: Eukaryotic large subunit ribosomal RNA
Rfam family: Eukaryotic large subunit ribosomal RNA
Source: Rfam by way of RNAcentral